RNAcentral lists this ribosomal RNA (255 nucleotides) under uncultured bacterium. RNAcentral's name for it is "partial 16S ribosomal RNA". It matches the Rfam family "Bacterial small subunit ribosomal RNA", at positions 524 to 776 of the family's 1533-position model. The record is from RNAcentral.
UACGAAGGGGGCUAGCGUUGUUCGGAUUUACUGGGCGUAAAGCGCACGUAGGCGGAUCGUUAAGUCGGGGGGUGAAAUCCUGGAGCUCAACUCCAGAACUGCCUUCGAUACUGGCGAUCUUGAGUCCGGAAGAGGUGAGUGGAACUCCUAGUGUAGAGGUGGAAUUCGUAGAUAUUAGGAAGAACACCAGUGGCGAAGGCGGCUCACUGGUCCGGUACUGACGCUGAGGUGCGAAAGCGUGGGGGAGCAAACAGG